CCUACGGGUGGCAGCAGUGAGGAAUAUUGGUCAAUGGCCGGAAGGCUGAACCAGCCAUGCCGCGUGAAGGUCAGUUCCCUCUGGGCGUUCAACUUCUUUUUUGCUGGAUCAAUAAUGGUCCCUUUUGGCCAGACUAGAGUACCUUACGAAUAAUCAUCGGCUAACUCCGUUCCAGCAGCCGCGGUAAUACGGGGGAUGCCAACGUUAUCCGGAUUUUUUUGGUUUAAAGGGUGCGUAGGCUGUGAGGUAAUUCAGCGGUUAAAUGCUCCCGAUCAACGGGGUGAAGUGCCAUUGAUACUGCCUUGCUGGAAUGCGGAUGCGGUGGGAGGAAUGUGUGGUGUAGCGGUGAAAUGCAUAGAUAUCACACAGAACACCGAUUGCGAAGGCAUCCUACGAAUCCGUGAUUGACGCGGAUGCACGAAAGCGUGGGUAUCAAACAGGAUUAGAUACCCUGGUAGUC
Molecule: ribosomal RNA, 460 nt
Filed under: uncultured bacterium
Lineage: Bacteria
Description: partial 16S ribosomal RNA
Rfam family: Bacterial small subunit ribosomal RNA
Source: RNAcentral